RNAcentral lists this ribosomal RNA (200 nucleotides) under uncultured bacterium. RNAcentral's name for it is "partial 16S ribosomal RNA". It matches the Rfam family "Bacterial small subunit ribosomal RNA", at positions 28 to 220 of the family's 1533-position model. The record is from RNAcentral.
GACGAACGCUGGCGGCGUGCUUAACACAUGCAAGUCGAGCGGAAAGGCCCUUCGGGGUACUCGAGCGGCGAACGGGUGAGUAACACGUGAGUAACACGUGGGCAAUCUGCCCUUCACUCUGGGACAAGCCCUGGAAACGGGGUCUAAUACCGGAUACAACACUCUCGGGCAUCCGAUGAGUGUGGAAAGCUCCGGCGGUG